CGGGUUGGGGCCGGUCUGGUUAGGCGCCUCAUUUGGGUUGAGGAUCAGCUAUGUUCGAAUCAUAGCAACCCGA
RNAcentral lists this transfer RNA (73 nucleotides) under Arthonia kermesina. RNAcentral describes it as "tRNA-Pro". Lineage: Eukaryota; Fungi; Ascomycota; Arthoniomycetes; Arthoniales; Arthoniaceae. The record is from RNAcentral.